This 497-nucleotide ribosomal RNA is filed under the name uncultured bacterium. RNAcentral's name for it is "partial 16S ribosomal RNA". It matches the Rfam family "Bacterial small subunit ribosomal RNA", at positions 28 to 507 of the family's 1533-position model. The record is from RNAcentral.
GAUGAACGCUGGCGGCGUGCCUAAUACAUGCAAGUCGAGCGAGCGGACGAGAAGCUUGCUUCUCUGAUGUUAGCGGCGGACGGGUGAGUAACACGUGGAUAACCUACCUAUAAGACUGGGAUAACUUCGGGAAACCGGAGCUAAUACCGGAUAAUAUUUUGAACCGCAUGGUUCAAAAGUGAAAGACGGUCUUGCUGUCACUUAUAGAUGGAUCCGCGCUGCAUUAGCUAGUUGGUAAGGUAACGGCUUACCAAGGCAACGAUGCAUAGCCGACCUGAGAGGGUGAUCGGCCACACUGGAACUGAGACACGGUCCAGACUCCUACGGGAGGCAGCAGUAGGGAAUCUUCCGCAAUGGGCGAAAGCCUGACGGAGCAACGCCGCGUGAGUGAUGAAGGUCUUCGGAUCGUAAAACUCUGUUAUUAGGGGAGAACAUAUGUGUAAGUAACUGUGCACAUCUUGACGGUACCUAAUCAGAAAGCCACGGCUAACUACGUG